AAAUUCAAAUAAAUAAAUUUUCAAAAAAUUAUAAAAAUAAUAAAUUGUUAAUGAAAAAUUAGUACUAAAAAAUUAAUAUAAAAAUAUUAUCCAAAAAUUACUAAUAAGAGCUAUUAACAAAAAUACUAACAAAAACUUAAAUAUAAAAAGAUAUUUGUAAGACAAAUUACUAAAAAAAUUACUAUAUAUAUGUAUUAUAACAAAAAAAAAUUACUAAGAAUCAAUAGUAUAAAUAAUUUACUAAUAAAAAAUAUAUUUGAAUAAAAAUUUUGUUUUAUGCCAAAGAAAAACAAAUUAAAUAAAAAAGUUGAGAAAGAAAAAGAUAAUAAAGAAAAUAGAUAAGGAAAAAAUGGUAGAAAAGAAAAUAUACGAGAAAAAAAAAAGAUAAUGAAGAAAAUAGAUUAGAAAUGAAAAUAUGAUAAAUAAAAUAGAUGAAAAAAAAAAUAUGAUGAAGAAAAUGAUAUAAAAGAUAAGAAAGGAGUAAACGAGUAGUAUUUUAUAUAAAUGAAUUAGUAAACGAUUUUAGCAACUAAUUAUUGGUUGCUAAUUUUUUUAAAAACUUGAGGGAAAAAUUUUGCAACUAAUUCACAAUAGGUUGCAAAAUCAAUUUCUAUUAGUAACUAAUUCACAAAUCGGUUAUAAAUCAAAAAAAUAUAACAAAAAAUUGGAUGGAAAUUUUUGAAGAAAUUUUUACAAUGAUAUCGGUUAUAAAAUCGGUUGCUAAUAGCAAUAUCCGGUUGCAAAAAUCGGUUACUAUUAGCGAUCAAUUCUUAAAUCGGUUAUAAAUAAAAGAGAAAAACAAAAAAUUAGAAGGAAAAUUUUGGAGAGAAAAUUUAGCAACCGAUUUAAGUUUUUUGUAAAAAUUAAUUGCUAAUAGUAAUCGAUAAAGAAGUGAUUACAAAUUUGGAGCCUUUUAAAAAAAAGAUUGUAAUUAGCAAUCGAUACGCAAAUCGGUUACUAAAUUUUUGCAAUCGACUUAAAUUGAUUGCUAAUAGUGGCUGAUUUUUGCAACUAAUUGUAAAUCAGUUGCUAAAUUUUAGAACUAAUUAAAAUAACUCUUUAAUUUAA
This 1068-nucleotide unclassified non-coding RNA is filed under the name Hevea brasiliensis (rubber tree). The record is from RNAcentral. Lineage: Eukaryota; Viridiplantae; Streptophyta; Magnoliopsida; Malpighiales; Euphorbiaceae.